CUUAAACCAGAUUGUCAGGGCGCAGCCGGGGCCGGAGGCAGCCGCCGGGCCAGAGGAUGCGGCUGCCCGCCUCGGAUCCUCCCCCGGCCAGCUAGCGAGGAACAUCUCCGGGAACCCGGACUUUUUAAACAGCCGAUCCAGGUGACUUGGGCAACUCGCAGCGAGGAGAAAAAGAGAAGAAGAGAAGAAAAGAAAAAAAAUAAGCAAAAUAAAAGCAAAUACAACGAAAUCGCAGAAAUUAUUCCGCCCGGUUUCCGAAGAGACUGCGGGCGCCGCGGGCUGGCACCGAGCGGCGGGAGCAGCGCGGCCGCUCUCCGCACAGCCCGACGGCGGGCACCGGAGCCCGGCCCGGCUCCCCGGCACCCCUCGGCUGCACUCCGCCUCCCGGACUGGAUCUUCUCCCGCCCCGAGCCGGGAAGGCUGGCCCAGCGCCGAGAGCCGUGGGGACACCAACCUGCAAGAAACUCAGACGGCACCGCGGCACUUCCGAGGGGCAGGAGAGCGGCAGCACAGCCCCGGGCCCGCAGCACUUUCGGGGGAGCCCUCGGAGCCCCGGCCCCUCUGGACGAGCCCAAGGCUACGCGGGAGCGGCCCCCCCCGCGACGGCAGCGUGAACGGGGCUCCGCGGGACCGGGACCCCGACGGGCGCCCCGAAACACAGCGGCACACACGAGUUACGGAGGGAACUUUUUCCUAAAAAGGGAUUUUUUUUAAAGCUUCCGUCCUUAAGCCACCGUGUGUAGACAUAUUACCCCGAUUACUGUAACUGCCUGCGAGCCGGGGAGUAAUAUUUAUCUAUUUAGAUAGGAAGGGUCGCGAUGGAAAAAAUAUCCAGCCUGGAAAUAUACAUCGUCUUUUCCUUUAACCCCUCCUCAUUCAUCCAGCCGAUCCCCCACCCCCUCCGUACACAAACCUACUCAAUUUAUAGAGAAGCCUUUACUAUCCAGAACAGUUUCUAGAAGAAGGGAGGACUCCAGAUGAAAUAAUCCCCCCCUCCUACACACAUGUACACACACACGCACACACACACACACACACACACACAUGCACGUAAGAUACACUUCCCCCCGGGCGUGCUCAGGAAAGCAAAUUAAAUAGUUAAAGGCUUCGAUUUCUCUCUCUCUCCCUUUUGUUACCCAAUUUUGGAACAUUUAAGGAUGGGUGUGUGUAUUGUAUUCAAUAAUAAAAGCUAUAGGGCCGCCA
RNAcentral lists this long non-coding RNA (1203 nucleotides) under Chloebia gouldiae (Gouldian finch). RNAcentral describes it as "Erythrura gouldiae (Gouldian finch) lncRNA (ENSEGOG00005005765.1)". Lineage: Eukaryota; Metazoa; Chordata; Aves; Passeriformes; Passeridae. The record is from RNAcentral.